CCUACGGGGGGCUGCAGUGGGGGAUAUUGCACAAUGGGGGGAACCCUGAUGCAGCGACGCCGCGUGGGUGAAGGAGCGUUUCGGCGCGUAAAGCCCUAUCGGCAGGGAAGAAGAUGACGGUACCUGGCCAAGAAGCCCCGGCUAACUACGUGCCAGCAGCCGCGGUAAUACGUAGGGGGCAAGCGUUAUCCGGAUUUACUGGGUGUAAAGGGGGCGCAGACGGCAAUGCAAGCCAGGAGUGAAAGCCCGGGGCCCAACCCCGGGACUGCUCUUGGAACUGCAUGGCUGGAGUACAGGAGGGGAAGGCGGAAUUCGGGGUGUAGGGGUGAAAUGCGUAGAUAUUAGGAGGAACACCGGGGGCGAAGGCGGCCGGCUGGACUGUGACUGACGUUGAGGCCCGAAGGUGUGGGGAGCAAACAGGAUUAGAUACCCGAGUAGUC
This 440-nucleotide ribosomal RNA is filed under the name uncultured bacterium. RNAcentral's name for it is "partial 16S ribosomal RNA". It matches the Rfam family "Bacterial small subunit ribosomal RNA", at positions 338 to 795 of the family's 1533-position model. The record is from RNAcentral.